GGGGGUGUCGUCCAAUUGGCUAGGACGGCGGUCUCCAAAACCGCUGAUCUAGGUUCGAGUCCUAGCACCCCCG
Molecule: transfer RNA, 73 nt
Filed under: Elusimicrobia bacterium RIFOXYA2_FULL_69_6
Lineage: Bacteria; Pseudomonadati; Elusimicrobiota
Also listed under: 1 other name
Description: tRNA-Trp
Rfam family: tRNA
About the family: Transfer RNA (tRNA) molecules are approximately 80 nucleotides in length.
Source: RNAcentral